Pelobates cultripes (western spadefoot toad) is the source of this 565-nucleotide non-coding RNA. NCBI's taxonomy places the organism in Eukaryota, Metazoa, Chordata, Amphibia, Anura, Pelobatidae. The record is from the annotation of a GenBank genome assembly.
CACACACACCCUCCCAAAAACUGCCCUUACACACUGUCACUUAUCCUCCACCCACAUUGUCAUACUCCCACACACUGCCCACAAGCACUAUCCCACACUGCCACACUGUCACCCUCCCCACACUGUCUCUCACCUCACACACUGUCACCCCCAGAAACACUGCCUCCACACUGUCACUCUCCGCACAUGCUGUCACCCUCCCCACACUUCCACUGUCACCACACACUGUCCUCCUCACAUCGUCACUCUCCCACACACUGUGACCACACACUGCCCUCCUCACAUUGUCAACCUCCCACACUCUGCCCUCCUCACAUUGUCACCCUCCCAUACACACUGUUACCUGUCCUCCUCCCAUGCUAUCAUUCUCCCACACAGUCACCCUCUCCCCACACAGUCAUCCUGUGUGCUAUAUAAUUGUGUUUGUCACAUACAUUUGUUAGCUUGAUAAGGACCACACUGGUCGAAACAUUUCUUUGCACAUUCUGGUGACAAUAAAUUGCCUGAAAUUGAACCUUUGGAGUGCCUUUUGAACUACCCACACACUGCCCUCCUCACAUUGCAC